GAGUGCAGUAGUCAUCAGGCAUUUCUGGGAGUUGGGAAGCAUGUCGAUGCUGUACCUGGACACUCUGGAUAGGCCAGGAUAAGGAAACAUUGGGAAUGUGGUAAUUACGUAAAUUCCUGUUUCCUGGAGUUUAUGGGCUCUGAUAUGAGCAAAUCAAUAUCAUGCGUCAUGGAGCUGGUGUUCAGCAAGUAUCAGGAUAGGAGUUGUUCAACUCUGAAGGAUCAAGGAUGCAUGCUGGAAUUUAAAGGCAACAGUUUGAGAGUGAUGAGAAUUUGGCUGUCAUGCUUCAACUAAGGAAGGAUCAAACGUCCUUCAUUGGAAAUUCCCAUUUCUGGUAAGG
Molecule: long non-coding RNA, 340 nt
Organism: Diachasma alloeum
Lineage: Eukaryota; Metazoa; Arthropoda; Insecta; Hymenoptera; Braconidae
Exons: 3
Source: RefSeq, a predicted model, not a curated record